UGGGGGAUAUUGCACAAUGGGCGAAAGCCUGAUGCAGCGACGCCGCGUGGGGGAUGAAGGCUUUCGGGUUGUAAACCUCUUUCGCUAUCGAACAAGGCCCGCUUAUGGUGGGUUGAGGGUAGGUGGAGAAGAAGCGCCGGCUAACUACGUGCCAGCAGCCGCGGCAAUACGUAGGGCGCGAGCGUUGUCCGGAAUUAUUGGGCGUAAAGGGCUUGUAGGCGGCUUGUUGCGCCUGCUGUGAAAACGCGGGGCUUAACUUCGCGCGUGCAGUGGGUACGGGCAGGCUUGAGUGUGGUAGGGGUGACUGGAAUUCCAGGUGUAGCGGUGGAAUGCGCAGAUAUCUGGAGGAACACCGAUGGCGAAGGCAGGUCACUGGGCCAUUACUGACGCUGAGGAGCGAAAGCAUGGGUAGCGAACAGG
RNAcentral lists this ribosomal RNA (420 nucleotides) under bacterium. Its description in RNAcentral is "partial 16S ribosomal RNA". It matches the Rfam family "Bacterial small subunit ribosomal RNA", at positions 355 to 776 of the family's 1533-position model. The record is from RNAcentral.